Molecule: ribosomal RNA, 165 nt
Filed under: Diandrolyra sp. ILCO-2018
Lineage: Eukaryota; Viridiplantae; Streptophyta; Magnoliopsida; Poales; Poaceae
Description: 5.8S ribosomal RNA
Rfam family: 5.8S ribosomal RNA (bases 85-165)
Source: RNAcentral
ACACCGCGCCUAACCGGGGGGCGCGCACGGCCCGGCUAGCCGGCGUCGGCCGCCCCUCGCGUCGAUACGUGACACGACCAACACGACUCUCGGCAACGGAUAUCUCGGCUCUCGCAUCGAUGAAGAACGUAGCGAAAUGCGAUACCUGGUGUGAAUUGCAGAAUC